GGAUGCUUUCUGGAGGUGGAGGGAAGAAGACAUGAGGAGGAUUUUCAGAUAAAUAUGAAAUCAGGGAGACGGGCCUAAAAGUGGCAGGAAGGAGAGGGACAGAUUCUAAGAGUUGGCAGGGCUGUGGGUGCCAGACUGUGUAAUCAGGACUCAUCCCAUAAGGCUCUGAUGAGACACAGAAGGUCUCAGAGUCGGAGAUUGCCCUGGGAGCCAAAGGACAAACAGUGACACAGAAUGAAUGCGUGAUCUAUCACAGAUGGGGACAGAGACGAGGAAGAGCUAAUCAGGGCAGAAGACUCACUCAGUAUGGGGAAUACAGAGCUUGACUGGGGCUUGAGCAUUUCCUAACACCUGUAAGAACGGUCUCAACAAGAGUCAGGGAGGUAAAGUCGAGGUGACUGAAAGUGAUAUUGCAGGUGACACAGCAGAACAUGAAGACUGACAUGGAAGAAGGUGUAAGAGGAGUUAUGGGCAGUCAAUAGUGCUUCAUGCCAGGAACCAGUUGGAACCAAGCAUCUUGCACAUGGCUGGUAUAUGCAGCAGUUAAAAAAUGCAUAGAUAAGACCUCAAGUUUGGGAAUCAGUGGAGGAAUAAUCAUGUCUUUCUCUAUCAUUUGACUUUGUGAAAUGACUAAGAGUGAUCGCUCUCAUUCAGUCAUUGGUACAUUUGCAUAUCCACAGCAAACCAUAUACUAUUCCACUCUCUGAGGUGUGUUGUGGGGAUGAAAUAUGAUGACCCAAAACAACUAAGAGAGGAAAGGAUUUAUUUCUCUUACACCUCCAGAUGAUAGUCCACCAUCAAAGCCGUCAGGGUCGGGACUCAAAGCACAAAUCUGGAGGUGGGGACUGAAGCGGAAGCAAUGGAAGAACCCGGUUCCUGGCUCUCUCUCCCUCUGGUUUGCUCUUUGCUUUCUUAUAUGCUCCAGAGCCGCCCAGUUCUGCAGUAGCACCACCCACACUGGACUUGCUAUUCCACAAUAAUCAUUAAUCAAGAAAAUGUGCCCCAAACUUGCAUACAGGCCUUUCUUACAGGGACAUUUCCUCAGUUGGAGUUCUUCUCAGAUGACUGUGACUUGUGUUAGGCUGACAAAACUAGCUAGAGCACCAAGUUUGCUUUAAAACACUCUUUCAUUCCAUGUUUCCAGGGAUCAGGACAUUAAUGAGACCUGAUGUUACUAAUCAUUUACUGCAUACUGGACACUUGGAGCUUCUGUAGCUAAGAGAAUGGUGGUGUGUUUGCUUCGCUGAAGCAGAUGCCUAUAGGCCAGUGAACCUGAGGUACAAGAAAGAGCGAGACAACAUCUCAAACAGAAAAAGAAACACAGCAAGGCUUAUAUGUGAAUUCUCAGCAAAUUGACUUCACAUUUCUGCAUUUUAUCCCUAUGCAUUAGGCAAUAUGUCCUCCUUUUGUGUUUAUUAAGAAGCUCAUAUUUGCAGAGGAGUCAAGAAACAUGAGCAGCAAAAAUAUACUAAAAAUGGAUGUGUGAAGCCCUGAGUUUAAUUAUCAUUUCUUUGGAUAAGUUAUAAUUGUUAUCUGUUGUCAAGCAUGGAUCAACAGAUGUGAGGGACACUGUCGCCUGUAAAUUCUAUCCAGAGAAUAAAUGAAUGAAUACCAGGGAAGUCCCUUCACAUGGGCUCCAGACAUAUUCAACAGCAUCUGUGUGGAAAGGUUAGGUCCCUGUGAGCCCUGGCAGGCAAGCUCCUAUGGGUUAGCACAGAUGACCAAGCUCAAGGAUGUCUGUUAGUGGAAGGAAUCUUUUGCCUCAGAGACUGAUGAAAGGUUGUGAGCCAUGGAGAAAUAGGAACAGGAACUUUUACAGCUUGGGUGGGAGCAAUGUGAAAAUAGAAAACAUCUGUAAUCACAUUGUGCCUGGAGUUUGAAUGAAGUCAGACUUUAGAAGACACACAGGGUGCCUAUGUAAUCCAUCUGCUGAUGUUUGGGUUGCCAGAAAAUAAAAGUAUGCACAGAAGACAAAAUGAAGUAAAACCAUAGAACCCAUGCUCAAUAACCUCUUGUUGCUGUUUUCCCUGAUGUCAAGACACAUUUUUUAAAAUCUUCCCUGUCUUAGGAAAAUAGAAUACAUUUGUAUAAGCUUGUCCUGGUAUGAACUUAUAUUUAUUAGAUCUGUCUCACCGGUUUAUAUGUGCUUAAGCAUUGUCUUUCCAAUGUAUUUGAGGGGUAGGCUCUUCUAUACUGUUUUAAUCUAUUGACUUCAACACUGUGACAUAGCAUAGAUUCUGUGGCAGUCAUAUUUGUGACAUGCUGGGGACCUAAUGGCAAGUGUGACAGGUGAGGUACUUCCAGCAUGAGCAAGAAUGAAAGGAAUAUAGGACAGCAGUGUCAGGAAAGGGGGAAACUGUGUAAGGAAUCUUAUAACAAGGUUCAUGGACAGGCUUCAUGGAUAUUUUUCAUGGAAUCAAAGAGGUUAUAGCAGUAUAUGGAGAAACAAUGCUGUGUGGGAAGGUACAGCUUGCUUUGGAUAUUUGCAAAUAUUCUGAGCUAAGUAAGGAAUUCAUGGAAGUAUGUGUAGUGGUAUGGACCUAGAAGAAUACGAAACAAGAAACCAUUAGGCUGGGAGAGGAGUGGUAUCUGAGCAGAUUUUUCAAGGAAAGCUCAUUCGGCCAACUCCAUGAUGUCAGUCACCUGGGCCAUGACUCAAGAGAAAGUGUACAUUAAACAAAGCUGUAUUCAGACAGGCUCCCAUCUAGACAUUUUGUGUGAUACAGGGAGAUUUAUGUCAUUUAUAUGAGCAUCAGUCUUUCCAUCUUUUAAGUAAGAACAUUAGCUUUUCUUUUACAAGAUUGUCCUGGAAGAUGUAAAGAAUGUAAAACAAAAAUCUGAUACAUACACAGAGUAGAAUUUGAGUUAUUAAUCACUGGAGUCCCAUAGUCUCCAAAGCAUUAUAGUUUAUUGCCAUUUCUGUCAUUGACCAUCCAGACACCAGAGUGUAAGUUCCCUUUGCUGAAUACAGCACACACAUGAGUUGUAGAACAUGGCAAAAUAAAUCUUGCAACCUCCAUCUUUACUGCACAGAUUUCAUUGUGCUGGAAAGUUCUAUGAACACUACAGAAAGAAAAAAGCAAUUCACAGUCUUAUCCAGAUGUAAAACCUGUAAACUAUAACAAGGACUGCCUAGUAAGGUAUGGCCACUGCUGUAAUAUUGGCACAAAUGUUAUGGGAGUAACCAGCACCUUUAUGCUGGUAUUUAAGGAUCAAUUCACCAUUGUAACUCAUGCCUGGUCCAGAGAUAACUGUGCCCAACAUCAUAGCAACUUAUGCCAUAGACCUUAGGGGAUAACCUACUACUAUUAUUCUGUUGAGUGAAGAUAGCAAAACAUCAUUUCCUAUGUUGUUAUACCCAUUGGUUAGUGCAUUUCUCAGUUCUCAUAAUAAAGCUUCCAUUUGUAG
Molecule: long non-coding RNA, 3408 nt
Organism: Mesocricetus auratus (golden hamster)
Lineage: Eukaryota; Metazoa; Chordata; Mammalia; Rodentia; Cricetidae
Exons: 4
Source: RefSeq, a predicted model, not a curated record